RNAcentral lists this ribosomal RNA (252 nucleotides) under uncultured bacterium. RNAcentral's name for it is "partial 16S ribosomal RNA". It matches the Rfam family "Bacterial small subunit ribosomal RNA", at positions 524 to 776 of the family's 1533-position model. The record is from RNAcentral.
UACGGAGGAUGCGAGCGUUAUCCGGAUUUACUGGGUGUAAAGGGAGCGCAGGCGGCACGGCAAGCCUGAUGUGAAAGCCCGCGGCCCAACCGCGGGACUGCAUUGGGAACUACCGGGCUGAGUGCCGGAGAGGUAGGCGGAAUUCCUAGUGUAGCGGUGAAAUGCGUAGAUAUUAGGAGGAACACCAGUGGCGAAGGCGGCCUACUGGACGGUGACUGACGCUGAGGCUCGAAAGCGUGGGGAGCAAACAGG